CUACGGGGCGCAGCAGUGGGGAAUAUUGCACAAUGGGCGCAAGCCUGAUGCAGCAACGCCGCGUGGACGAUGAAGGCCUUCGGGUUGUAAAGUUCUUUUCUUAGGGAAGAAUAAAUGACGGUACCUAAGGAAUCAGCCCCGGCUAACUACGUGCCAGCAGCCGCGGUAAUACGUAGGGGGCAAGCGUUAUCCGGAAUCACUGGGCGUAAAGGGAGUGUAGGCGGUCAAGCAAGUCAGGGGUGAAAGGCAUCGGCUCAACCGAUGUAAGCCUUUGAAACUGUUUGACUUGAGUGCAGGAGAGGUAAGUGGAAUUCCUAGUGUAGCGGUGAAAUGCGUAGAUAUUAGGAGGAACACCAGUGGCGAAGGCGACUUACUGGACUGUAACUGACGCUGAGGCUCGAAAGCGUGGGGAGCGAACAGGAUUAGAUACCCUAGUAGUC
Molecule: ribosomal RNA, 440 nt
Filed under: uncultured bacterium
Lineage: Bacteria
Description: partial 16S ribosomal RNA
Rfam family: Bacterial small subunit ribosomal RNA
Source: RNAcentral